Molecule: ribosomal RNA, 459 nt
Filed under: uncultured bacterium
Lineage: Bacteria
Description: partial 16S ribosomal RNA
Rfam family: Bacterial small subunit ribosomal RNA
Source: RNAcentral
CCUACGGGAGGCUGCAGUGAGGAAUAUUGGUCAAUGGCCGCAAGGCUGAACCAGCCAAGUCGCGUGAAGGAUGACGGUCCUAUGGAUUGUAAACCUCUUUUGUCAAGGAGCAAAAUCCGCCACGUGUGGCUUUUUGCGAGUACUUGAAGAAAAAGCAUCGGCUAACUCCGUGCCAGCAGCCGCGGUAAUACGGAGGAUGCGAGCGUUAUCCGGAUUUAUUGGGUUUAAAGGGUGCGUAGGCGGACUGUCAAGUCAGCGGUAAAAUUUCGGGGCUCAACCCCGUCGAGCCGUUGAAACUGGCGUUCUUGAGUGAGCGAGAAGUAUGCGGAAUGCGUGGUGUAGCGGUGAAAUGCAUAGAUAUCACGCAGAACUCCGAUUGCGAAGGCAGCAGACCGGCGCUGAACUGACGCUGAUGCACGAAAGCGUGGGUAUCGAACAGGAUUAGAUACCCGGGUAGUC